This is a long non-coding RNA of Nelumbo nucifera (sacred lotus), 929 nucleotides long. RefSeq lists it as uncharacterized. The record is from RefSeq and is a predicted model, not a curated record. Lineage: Eukaryota; Viridiplantae; Streptophyta; Magnoliopsida; Proteales; Nelumbonaceae.
UGCAUGUUUUGGCGGGUUUUUCCUCAAAUUUUCAUCAUCUAACAUAAGAAAAUGAGCAUUGCCCGCGCAUAUCUUCCUUCUUGCGCGUCUUUCUCUGUCCCUCUCUCUGCUUCACUCUUUUCAUCUCUGCUUCACUCUUCCCCUCUGUUCAUGCUUCUCAGGUUGUCGUGUUCAAGGAGUGAAGCGACGGUGAGUUGAAAACCCUCGGGCCUCUACUGGUGUAUCUCUCUUCAAGAAACAGGACAUUUACAAUCAAGUGAUCAGCAUAUCAUUGUCUUGCAGAUUCAUAUACACAAAGAUCGGGCACCAAAAAGAAAAUGAUCUCAAACAAAUCGAGUGUAGCAAGUCCCAAAUUCUCAAUUAAAUGGGGAAGUUGAAGAACAAGAGACUGAAACACAACAACCACAGCAAUCUCAUUUGCAAUACCCUCAAGCUUCUCAACCCUAAGUAGACCCUACACCCUCUCAUCAUUCUUAGGAGGAAACUGAAGACCAAUUACCUCCACAAGCAGAGUCCUCACAGCACAAGAAAACAAGAGGCCCAACUUUUUGUAAAGAUGUGUAUAAAAUGAAUGAUAAUGAGCGUAUUUCUAUAUCUUUGUAUGGUCAGCCAGAAGAUGGAAAAUUGUCCCAGUUUAUUGGCACAAUAGCAUGUAAUGGAAAUAUUGUACCUGUUGAUGUGGAUAGCUGGAAGAAAGUAUUGAAUACAACUAAAGAUCGUGCCUAGGGUUUUAUCAAGGAUAAGUUCGAUGUUUCAGAUGAUCAUAAAGAAUGGUGCUUAAAGGACCUAAAUGCAAAAUGGAAGAUAUGGGAAUGUAUUUUAUAUUGAGAUUUUUAUAAGCCCGAAGUUCCAAUAACGGAACAACUUACUCCCCCAAUGGAUCAUGUUGUUAAAGAGCAGUGGGUAAAUUUGCUUCAAAUGUGGCAAUA